UACAGAGGGGGCAAGCGUUGUUCGGAAUUACUGGGCGUAAAGGGCGCGUAGGCGGCCUUCUAAGUCAUGCGUGAAAUCCCCGGGCUCAACCCGGGAACUGCGUCUGAUACUGGAAGGCUUGAAUCCGGGAGAGGGAUGUGGAAUUCCAGGUGUAGCGGUGAAAUGCGUAGAUAUCUGGAGGAACACCGGUGGCGAAGGCGGGUCUCUGGGCCGAUACUGACGCUGAGGAGCGAAAGCGUGGGGAGCGAACAGG
Molecule: ribosomal RNA, 253 nt
Filed under: uncultured bacterium
Lineage: Bacteria
Description: partial 16S ribosomal RNA
Rfam family: Bacterial small subunit ribosomal RNA
Source: RNAcentral